RNAcentral lists this transfer-messenger RNA (352 nucleotides) under Thermodesulfovibrionales. Its description in RNAcentral is "JAKAKS01 sp021813405 Standard tmRNA". It matches the Rfam family "transfer-messenger RNA". From Rfam's summary of the family: Bacterial tmRNA, also known as 10Sa RNA or SsrA, is named for its dual tRNA and mRNA-like properties. Its role is to liberate the mRNA from a stalled ribosome. Lineage: Bacteria; Pseudomonadati; Nitrospirota; Thermodesulfovibrionia. The record is from RNAcentral. RNAcentral also lists the same sequence under 1 other name.
GGGGGCGAAAGGUCUCGACGGGGGUUACCAGGCCCUGAUGGCAUGCCGUGGGUCUCUGCCGCCACGUAAAAAGGCAGGGAAAACACAAACGCCAAUAACGAACUGGCACUCGCUGCUUAACUAAAAGCAGCACGCUUUCCAUGGGCGGGCCUGCGGUCCGGGGAAGCGACAGCUAGCGGGCUAAGCCCAAGGGGAGUCUUCACCCGGGGGACUAAAACCAAAGAGGAGACUGGGCCUGCAGUGAGCGCGGCCGCUCGCGCUAAGCGGGCCGAGAUUUAAAAAGCGGCCUAAGCAUGUAGAGGUUUGGGUACAGUGCUUUCGGACGCGGGUUCAAUUCCCGCCGCCUCCACCA